This is a long non-coding RNA of Panicum virgatum (switchgrass), 653 nucleotides long. RefSeq lists it as uncharacterized. The record is from RefSeq and is a predicted model, not a curated record. The transcript has 3 exons. Lineage: Eukaryota; Viridiplantae; Streptophyta; Magnoliopsida; Poales; Poaceae.
GUGAUAUCUCUGCAGAGAUUCCUAUUGUGCUGCCCUGGUCAACCCGACUAAACAUUGCAGUAGACGCCGCGAAGGGUUUAGCAUUCCUCGACGCAGACAAGACGGUGAUCGACCUUGCUUUGGCCAUGGUGGCGGCAGUGCUUUUGGUGCUGGGGCCUGGGGCAUGUUCCAUGGAGUGAUAAUUCAGUUAGCCAGCACAUUGAUUUGAUGGUAUGGUGCUACAGAAUCAGCCCUUGCUCUAUUUAAUUUAGUCUCUCUGUGGCUAAGUUCUGAUAGUUAUCCUCCAUGAGUUCUGAUAAUGAUUGUUCAUCCCUUGUCGAGCAAUUAUCCUAUAUCCAAUCAUUUUUCCAACCAGCUCGCUGAAAUGAGAGGUUUCAAGUUUCUUGUCACUGAUGGGGAAUCCUAGAUACUUCAUUGGGAAUUUACCAAGCCUGCAGUUCAGCAUGUUGGCAAUUUGUUGCCUCUCAGAUACAUCCAAUUUUUACCUUUCCUGUGGUAAUGGGGGUGUGAAGAAACAAAAUGUCAAGUAGUUCACGAACUGAUCACAACGUAGAAUGCUCAUAUUUUGUUAGAUUUUGGAUGUAAAGAUGGAGAAUUAUGAUUGUCUGAUUUCAUAAUAAAAUAUCUAUUUGUUGAAGAGACAUUUUUUUUAA